Molecule: ribosomal RNA, 521 nt
Filed under: uncultured Alphaproteobacteria bacterium
Lineage: Bacteria; Pseudomonadati; Pseudomonadota; Alphaproteobacteria
Description: bacterial SSU rRNA
Rfam family: Bacterial small subunit ribosomal RNA
Source: RNAcentral
UCUUAGACAAUGGGGGCAACCCUGAUCUAGCCAUGCCGCGUGUGUGAUGAAGGCCCUAGGGUCGUAAGCACUUUCGCCAGAGAUGAUAAUGACAGUAUCUGGUAAAGAAACCCCGGCUAACUCCGUGCCAGCAGCCGCGGUAAUACGGAGGGGGUUAGCGUUGUUCGGAAUUACUGGGCGUAAAGCGCACGUAGGCGGAUUAGUAAGUUAGAGGUGAAAUCCCAGGGCUCAACCCUGGAACUGCCUUUAAUACUGCUAGUCUUGAGUUCGAGAGAGGUAAGUGGAAUUCCGAGUGUAGAGGUGAAAUUCGUAGAUAUUCGGAGGAACACCAGUGGCGAAGGCGGCUUACUGGCUCGAYACUGACGCUGAGGUGCGAAAGUGUGGGGAGCAAACAGGAUUAGAUACCCUGGUAGUCCACACCGUAAACGAUGAAUGCCAGACGUCAGCAAGUAUACUUGUUGGUGUCACACCUAACGGAUUAAGCAUUCGCCUGGGGAGUACGGUCGCAAGAUUAAAACUCA